ACUCCUACGGGAGGCAGCAGUAAGGAAUAUUGGGCAAUGGACGCAAGUCUGACCCAGCCAUGCCGCGUGCAGGAUGAAGGCCUUUUGGUUGUAAACUGCUUUUCUGAGGGAAGAAAAGUAUCUAUUUAUGGGUACCUGACGGUACCUCAGGAAUAAGCACCGGCUAACUCCGUGCCAGCAGCCGCGGUAAUAC
This 193-nucleotide ribosomal RNA is filed under the name uncultured bacterium. RNAcentral's name for it is "partial 16S ribosomal RNA". It matches the Rfam family "Bacterial small subunit ribosomal RNA", at positions 335 to 526 of the family's 1533-position model. The record is from RNAcentral.